RNA transcript from Neocloeon triangulifer, 1036 nucleotides. RefSeq lists it as uncharacterized. The record is from RefSeq and is a predicted model, not a curated record. The transcript is spliced from 5 exons. Lineage: Eukaryota; Metazoa; Arthropoda; Insecta; Ephemeroptera; Baetidae.
CUUAGUUUUUAUCAUUUAAAAUUUUUUCAGAUCCCUUAUUCACUGUGCCCACGUUUAAGGACUUCAUGAAGGCGGCCAACUGUGCAGCUAAAGAAGCUGCUGAAAUUCACUUGAGACCAGUUUUCAAAAAUAUGUUCAGUGAGCUGCCGCAUUAUCCGAGCAUGGAAAUUGUAGUGACAAAUCGGAGCUUCCCACACCAAGUUCACAAAACUUUGUUCCAGGGUGGCGAGGAGACAAUCUGAUCGCGCUUCUGAAGUGAAUGGAGUCCACAGACACAAAUAUUUUACAAGCUCGAUGGAACCAACACAUGAUUUGGAUUGUGCGCCGCUGGUGCGAAAAUCGUCCAGGCCGUGGGCACCGUCGCCCCUCAGCACAACCUACGUGGUCACCAGAGAGCUGAAAACCCUCGACCGACCUUUGACUGAACCCCAUCUGGCCCUGAUGACGGCCAGUUACAGAAACAACGGCACACAAACUUUCGCAGCCCACCUGCGUCCAGACAUCGCCAAAGUUUCAGAUUGCGACGAUCCAAAGGGAGCGAUUGAAGCAAAAAUGCGACACAUGAAGGAAAUCAGCGACGAGAGAUUGAGACUGGCGGCCAAAUUGCGGGCCGAACACGCGUCUGCUGCCCAGGCGCAAAGAGAGGCUACCAGGGCCAGGACUAAAGCUCGAUGGGAAGACCGCAAAGAAGCUGAACUGGCCAAACUCAUGACGCGACAUAACAGAGGCAAAACACCAAAUCAAAAAUUAUUUUUACUCUCUUUUAAAUAUUUUUUUUAUACUUUACAGAAGUUAGAAAACUGGCGAGGGAGUUCAAUGACAUGGGUCUUCACGAGCACCAGAGGAAUAAUUCAACUCAGGUGGACCGGAGUGAACACUUGGAGUUGCCGUUAAUUCAAAAUUUACCAGUUGUGGCACCAUCGCUGUAAAUUUGCAUUUCUUGAGAAAUUUCGCGAUAAAGACUUUUCUCAAAAUUGUAUAAGCAGCCUUGUUAUCCCCAUUGUGCGUUGGUUGACGUUUGGAAUAAAUUUUAUAU